GCUUGCACCGGGUGAUCAGUGGCGAACGGGUGAGUAACACGUGAGUAACCUGCCCCCGACUCUGGGAUAACCCCGGGAAAUCGGAGCUAAUACCGGAUACGAGACGCACAGGCAUCUGUAGCGUCUGGAAAGAAUUUCGGUCGGGGAUGGACUCGCGGCCUAUCAGCUUGUUGGUGGGGUAACGGCCCACCAAGGCGACGACGGGUAGCCGGCCUGAGAGGGCGACCGGCCACACUGGGACUGAGACACGGCCCAGACUCCUACGGGAGGCAGCAGUGGGGAAUAUUGCACAAUGGGCGCAAGCCUGAUGCAGCGACGCCGCGUGGGGGAUGAAGGCCUUCGGGUUGUAAACCCCUUUCAGCAGGGAAGAAGCGCAAGUGACGGUACCUGCAGAAGAAGCGCCGGCUAACUACGUGCCAGCAGCCGCGGUAAUACGUAGGGCGCAAGCGUUGUCCGGAAUUAUUGGGCGUAAAGAGCUCGUAGGCGGUUUGUCGCGUCUGCUGUGAAAACCCGAGGCUCAACCUCGGGCCUGCAGUGGGUACGGGCAGACUAGAGUGCGGUAGGGGAGACUGGAAUUCCUGGUGUAGCGGUGGAAUGCGCAGAUAUCAGGAGGAACACCGAUGGCGAAGGCAGGUCUCUGGGCCGCAACUGACGCUGAGGAGCGAAAGCAUGGGGAGCGAACAGGAUUAGAUACCCUGGUAGUCCAUGCCGUAAACGUUGGGCACUAGGUGUGGGGCUCAUUCCACGAGUUCCGUGCCGCAGCAAACGCAUUAAGUGCCCCGCCUGGGGAGUACGGCCGCAAGGCUAAAACUCAAAGGAAUUGACGGGGGCCCGCACAAGCGGCGGAGCAUGCGGAUUAAUUCGAUGCAACGCGAAGAACCUUACCAAGGCUUGACAUA
This 899-nucleotide ribosomal RNA is filed under the name Actinotalea solisilvae. Its description in RNAcentral is "bacterial SSU rRNA". It matches the Rfam family "Bacterial small subunit ribosomal RNA", at positions 78 to 988 of the family's 1533-position model. Lineage: Bacteria; Bacillati; Actinomycetota; Actinomycetes; Micrococcales; Cellulomonadaceae. The record is from RNAcentral.